Molecule: ribosomal RNA, 253 nt
Filed under: uncultured bacterium
Lineage: Bacteria
Description: partial 16S ribosomal RNA
Rfam family: Bacterial small subunit ribosomal RNA
Source: RNAcentral
UACGUAAGGUGCAAGCGUUAUCCGGAAUUAUUGGGCGUAAAGAGCUCGUAGGCGGUUUGUCGCGUCUGCUGUGAAAACCGGAGGCUCAACCUCCGGCCUGCAGUGGGUACGGGCAAACUAGAGUGCGGUAGGGGAGAUUGGAAUUCCUGGUGUAGCGGUGGAAUGCGCAGAUAUCAGGAGGAACACCGAUGGCGAAGGCAGAUCUCUGGGCCGUAACUGACGCUGAGGAGCGAAAGCGUGGGGAGCGAACAGG